GGGCCAAGUGGGGUGCUUACACUGCAGUCGAGCGGUAAGGCCUUUCGGGGUACACCAGCGGCGAACGGGUGAGUAACACGUGGGUGAUCUGCCCUGCACUCUGGGAUAAGCUUGGGAAACUGGGUCUAAUACCGGAUAUGACCGCAUCAUGCAUGUGUUGUGGUGGAAAGAUUUAUCGGUGCAGGAUGGGCCCGCGGCCUAUCAGCUUGUUGGUGGGGUAAUGGCCUACCAAGGCGACGACCGGUAGCCGACCUGAGAGGGUGACCGGCCACACUGGGACUGAGACACGGCCCAAACUCCUACCGGAGGCAGCAGUGGGGAAUAUUGCACAAUGGGCGGAAGCCUGAUGCAGCGACGCCGCGUGAGGGAUGAAGGCCUUCGGGUUGUAAACCUCUUUCAGCAAGGACGAAGCGUGAGUGACGGUACCUGCAGAAGAAGCACCAGCUAACUACGUGCCAACAGCCGCGGUAAUACGUAAGGUGCGAGCGUUGUCCGGAAUUACUGGGCGUAAAGAGUUCGUACGCGGUUUGUCGCGUCGUUUGUGAAAACCCGGGGCUCAACUUCCGGCUUGCAGGCGAUACGGGCAGACUUGAGUGUUUCAGGGGAGACUGGGAUUCCUGGUGUAGCGGUGAAAUGCGCAAAUAUCAGGAGGAACACCGGUCGCGAAAGCAUGUCUCUCGGAAACAACUGACGCUCAGGAACGAAAGCGUGUGUUCCCAACCGGAUUAGAUACCCUGGUAGUCCACGCCGUAAACGGUGGGCGCUAGGUGUGGGGUUCCUUCCACCGGAAUCUGUGCCCCACCUAACGCAGUAAAGGGCCCCCUCAGCGGCGAAGAGGGCCCCCAG
Molecule: ribosomal RNA, 846 nt
Filed under: Rhodococcus sp. (in: high G+C Gram-positive bacteria)
Lineage: Bacteria; Bacillati; Actinomycetota; Actinomycetes; Mycobacteriales; Nocardiaceae
Description: bacterial SSU rRNA
Rfam family: Bacterial small subunit ribosomal RNA
Source: RNAcentral